Molecule: unclassified non-coding RNA, 258 nt
Filed under: soil metagenome
Description: partial internal transcribed spacer 1
Source: RNAcentral
ACACGUAUCCACGUAUCAACCCCUCUGCGAAAACGAAGAAACAGAAGGCGUGUUCUGAGUGUGUCGUCGGUUGUCCUAAUGAUGGCGGGGCUCUGCUCCGGGGACACAUAAUCACGGCAUGCGUUCGAGGAAUCGCCGCUUUUUUCCCAUCAUUAGCCCUUUUUAUUAUUUUUAACCCCUUGUACUUCUUAUGUACUGAACCAAUUCUUUCGAUGCUCUCACAAGGAGCGACGAAAAGAUAUUACGAAACUAAAAGAA